Molecule: ribosomal RNA, 359 nt
Filed under: uncultured fungus
Lineage: Eukaryota; Fungi
Description: eukaryotic LSU rRNA
Rfam family: Eukaryotic large subunit ribosomal RNA
Source: RNAcentral
AUAUCAAUAAGCGGAGGAAAAGAAACCAACAGGGAUUGCCUCAGUAACGGCGAGUGAAGCGGCAACAGCUCAAAUUUGAAAUCUGGCUUCUCGGAGCCCGAGUUGUAAUUUGUAGAGGAUGUUUCGGGUACCGCUCCGGCUUAAUUUUCUUGGAACAGAAUGUCACAGAGGGUGAGAAUCCCGUCUGGAGCCGCGGUAGGGCCUAUGUGAAACUCCUUCGACGAGUCGAGUUGUUUGGGAAUGCAGCUCAAAAUGGGUGGUAAAUUUCAUCUAAAGCUAAAUAUUGGCCAGAGACCGAUAGCGCACAAGUAGAGUGAUCGAAAGAUGAAAAGCACUUUGAAAAGAGAGUUAAACAGUAU